RNAcentral lists this ribosomal RNA (253 nucleotides) under uncultured bacterium. RNAcentral's name for it is "partial 16S ribosomal RNA". It matches the Rfam family "Bacterial small subunit ribosomal RNA", at positions 524 to 776 of the family's 1533-position model. The record is from RNAcentral.
UACAGAGGCCUCGAGCGUUAGGCGGAAUCACUGGGCUUAAAGCGUGUGUAGGCGGACUUCUAAGUACCUUGUGAAAUCCCACGGCUCACCCGUGGAACUGCUCGGUAUACUGGUCGUCUUGAGCCUUCUAGGGGCGAGCGGAACAAGUGGUGGAGCGGUGAAAUGCGUAGAUAUCACUUGGAACGCCAACGGUGAAAACAGCUCGCUGGGGGUAUCCUGACACUGAGGCACGAAAGCGUGGGGAGCAAACAGG